ACGAACGCUGGCGGCGUGCUUAACACAUGCAAGUCGAACGGAAAGGCCCUGCUUUUGUGGGGUGCUCAAGUGGCGAACGGGUGAGUAACACGUGAGUAACCUGCCCUUGACUUUGGGAUAACUUCAGGAAACUGGGGCUAAUACCGGAUAGGAGCUCCUGCUGCAUGGUGGGGGUUGGAAAGUUUCGGCGGUUGGGGAUGGACUCGCGGCUUAUCAGCUUGUUGGUGGGGUAGUGGCUUACCAAGGCUUUGACGGGUAGCCGGCCUGAGAGGGUGACCGGCCACAUUGGGACUGAGAUACGGCCCAGACUCCUACGGGAGGCAGCAGUGGGGAAUAUUGCACAAUGGGCGGAAGCCUGAUGCAGCAACGCCGCGUGCGGGAUGACGGCCUUCGGGUUGUAAACCGCUUUCGCCUGUGACGAAGCGUGAGUGACGGUAAUGGGUAAAGAAGCACCAGCUAACUACGUG
RNAcentral lists this ribosomal RNA (467 nucleotides) under uncultured bacterium. RNAcentral's name for it is "partial 16S ribosomal RNA". It matches the Rfam family "Bacterial small subunit ribosomal RNA", at positions 29 to 507 of the family's 1533-position model. The record is from RNAcentral.